This 676-nucleotide ribosomal RNA is filed under the name Marinobacter salsuginis. RNAcentral's name for it is "bacterial SSU rRNA". It matches the Rfam family "Bacterial small subunit ribosomal RNA", at positions 808 to 1484 of the family's 1533-position model. The record is from RNAcentral. Lineage: Bacteria; Pseudomonadati; Pseudomonadota; Gammaproteobacteria; Pseudomonadales; Marinobacteraceae.
GAUGUCUACUAGCCGUUGGGACUCUUGAAGUCUUAGUGGCGCAGCUAACGCACUAAGUAGACCGCCUGGGGAGUACGGCCGCAAGGUUAAAACUCAAAUGAAUUGACGGGGGCCCGCACAAGCGGUGGAGCAUGUGGUUUAAUUCGACGCAACGCGAAGAACCUUACCUGGCCUUGACAUGCAGAGAACUUUCCAGAGAUGGAUUGGUGCCUUCGGGAACUCUGACACAGGUGCUGCAUGGCCGUCGUCAGCUCGUGUCGUGAGAUGUUGGGUUAAGUCCCGUAACGAGCGCAACCCCUAUCCCUAGUUGCUAGCAGUUCGGCUGAGAACUCUAGGGAGACUGCCGGUGACAAACCGGAGGAAGGUGGGGAUGACGUCAGGUCAUCAUGGCCCUUACGGCCAGGGCUACACACGUGCUACAAUGGCGCGCACAGAGGGCUGCAAACCCGCGAGGGGGAGCCAAUCUCACAAAACGCGUCGUAGUCCGGAUCGCAGUCUGCAACUCGACUGCGUGAAGUCGGAAUCGCUAGUAAUCGUGAAUCAGAAUGUCACGGUGAAUACGUUCCCGGGCCUUGUACACACCGCCCGUCACACCAUGGGAGUGGAUUGCACCAGAAGUGGUUAGUCUAACCUUCGGGAGGACGAUCACCACGGUGUGGUUCAUGACUGGGGUGAA